RNAcentral lists this ribosomal RNA (471 nucleotides) under uncultured Sphingomonas sp. RNAcentral describes it as "bacterial SSU rRNA". It matches the Rfam family "Bacterial small subunit ribosomal RNA", at positions 8 to 525 of the family's 1533-position model. The record is from RNAcentral. Lineage: Bacteria; Pseudomonadati; Pseudomonadota; Alphaproteobacteria; Sphingomonadales; Sphingomonadaceae.
AGAGUUUGAUCCUGGCUCAGAACGAACGCUGGCGGCAUGCCUAACACAUGCAAGUCGAACGAGACCUUCGGGUCUAGUGGCGCACGGGUGCGUAACGCGUGGGAAUCUGCCCUUGGGUUCGGAAUAACUCGCCGAAAGGCGUGCUAAUACCGGAUGAUGUCGUAAGACCAAAGAUUUAUCGCCCAGGGAUGAGCCCGCGUAAGAUUAGGUAGUUGGUGAGGUAAAGGCUCACCAAGCCGACGAUCUUUAGCUGGUCUGAGAGGAUGAUCAGCCACACUGGGACUGAGGCACGGCCCAGACUCCCACGGGAGGCAGCAGUGGGGAAUAUUGGACAAUGGGCGAAAGCCUGAUCCAGCCAUGCCGCGUGAGUGAUGAAGGCCCUAGGGUUGUAAAGCUCUUUUGUCCGGGAAGAUAAUGACUGUACCGGAAGAAUAAGCUCCGGCUAACUCCGUGCCAGCAGCCGCGGUAAUA